This 401-nucleotide ribosomal RNA is filed under the name uncultured bacterium. RNAcentral's name for it is "bacterial SSU rRNA". It matches the Rfam family "Bacterial small subunit ribosomal RNA", at positions 28 to 430 of the family's 1533-position model. The record is from RNAcentral.
GACGAACGCUGGCGGCGUGCUUAAUACAUGCAAGUCAACGAUUUUAAGAUAGCAAUAUUUAAAAUAGUGGCGCACGGUGAGUAACACGUAGAUAAUCUACCUUUAGGUCUGACAUAACUCGUCGAAAGACGGGCUAAUAUCAGAUAAAACAAUAACUUGGCAUCAAGUAAUUGUCAAAGCUUCGGCGCCCAAAGAUGAGUCUGCGGACCAUUAGGUAGUUGGUGGAUUAACAGCCCACCAAGCCAACGAUGGAUAGCUGGUCUGAGAGGAUGAUCAGCCACACUGGAACUGAGACACGGUCCAGACUCCUACGGGAGGCAGCAGUAAGGAAUAUUGCUCAAUGGGAGAAAAUCCUGAAGCAGCAACGCGCGUGAAGGAAGAAGGGUCUUCGACUUGUAAAC